Molecule: non-coding RNA, 90 nt
Filed under: Pseudomonas sp. 29
Lineage: Bacteria; Pseudomonadati; Pseudomonadota; Gammaproteobacteria; Pseudomonadales; Pseudomonadaceae
Source: RNAcentral
UGUAGGAGUGAGCCUGCUCGCGAUAGCGGUGUGUCAGCCACCUAAUAGGUUGACUGGUAUGACGCUAUCGCGAGCAGGCUCACUCCUACA